GUUACGGCGCCCGAUGCGAGACGCUCAUGAGACCCCAUGAAAGGUGUUGGUUGCUCUAGACAGCAGGACGGUGGCCAUGGAAGUCGGAAUCCGCUAAGGAGUGUGUAACAACUCACCUGCCGAAGCAACUAGCCCUGAAAACCCUUAUGUAAGGAACGGAGGC
RNAcentral lists this non-coding RNA (163 nucleotides) under Stegodyphus mimosarum. RNAcentral describes it as "Eukaryotic large subunit ribosomal RNA". It matches the Rfam family "Eukaryotic large subunit ribosomal RNA", at positions 1179 to 1347 of the family's 3401-position model. Lineage: Eukaryota; Metazoa; Arthropoda; Arachnida; Araneae; Eresidae. The record is from Rfam by way of RNAcentral.